UACGGGAGGCAGCAGGGGGAAUAUUGCACAAUGGGCGCAAGCCUGAUGCAGCCAUGCCGCGUGUAUGAAGAAGGCCUUCGGGUUGUAAAGUACUUUCAGUCGUGAGGAAGGUGUUAAGGUUAAUAACCUUAGCAAUUGACGUUAGCGACAGAAGAAGCACCGGUUAACUCCGUGCCAGCAGCCGCGGUAAUACGGAGGGUGCGAGCGUUAAUCGGAAUUACUGGGCGUAAAGGGCACGCAGGCGGUUAAUUAAGUUGGAUGUGAAAUCCCCGGGCUUAACCUGGGAAUGGCAUUCAAGACUGGUUAGCUAGAGUCUUGUAGAGGGGGUAGAAUUCCAUGUGUAGCGGUGAAAUGCGUAGAGAUGUGGAGGAAUACCGGUGGCGAAGGCGGCCCCUGGACAAAGACUGACGCUCAUGUGCGAAAGCGUGGGGAGCAAACGAGGAUUAGAUACC
Molecule: ribosomal RNA, 452 nt
Filed under: uncultured bacterium
Lineage: Bacteria
Description: bacterial SSU rRNA
Rfam family: Bacterial small subunit ribosomal RNA
Source: RNAcentral